GGAAAAUCUCAUUAAGAGUGUAUGGCGGAUGCCUGGACAUAAGAAGACGAAGAAGGACGUAGCAGCCUGCGAUAAGCUGCGGUCAGGUGGCAAGCAACCUUUGACCCGCAGAUCUCCGAAUGGGGAAACCCCCUCAAUUGAAGAUUGAGGAAGCUCAGCCUUUUAGGCGAGCUGGAACACCCGGCGAACUGAAACAUCUUAGUAGCUGGAGGAAAAGAAAAUAAUAAUUAUUCCCUAAGUAGUGGCGAGCGAAAGGGGAACAGCCUAAACCUAAAUAACUGCAGAUAGAACUUGGUUCGCCAAGUUUUAUCUUGAAGGUUCUGGGACCAUAUGUUUUUUAGGGGUUGCAAGACCUAACGCCUAUUUCCAGAGAAAUGGGGCGGAGUCAGAAAAGUUAAUUUUUAGCAGAACGAGUUGGAAAGCUCGGCCAGAGACGGUGAUAGCCCGGUAAGCGAAAGGAAUCAACUCUCCGUAGUUAGUGUUCUUAAGUAGGGCGGGACUCGUGAAAUCCCGUCUGAAGCCAGGUCGACUAUGACCUAAGGCUAAAUACUUCUUAUGAUCGAUAGUGAACAAGUACCGUGAGGGAAAGGUGAAAAGCAUCCCGUUGAGGGAGGUGAAAUAGUACCUGAAACCAUAUACUUACAAGGAGUCGGAGCCCGCAAGGGUGACGGCGUGCCUAUUGAAGAAUGAGCCAACGAGUUUGUUCUAUGUGGCUUACAUAAUCUCCGUUUGGAGAGUAUGUGGAGUGAAAGCGAGGGUUAAUAGCCCGUUUGUGCUUCGCUUUCGUUGCGUUAUUUAUUAGCGCCGCGGAAGCGUAGCAUUUGUCGCAUAGACAAGACCCGAAGCCGGGUGAUCUUACCAUGGCCAGGUUGAAGUUCGUCGAAAGACGGAUGGAGGACCGAACCCACGCACCGUGCAACAUGCGGGGAUGAGUUGUGGUAAGCGCAGAAAUUGUAAUCGAACUCGGCAAUAGCUGGUUCUCCUCGAAAUAGCUUUUGGGCUAGCCUCGGAUGUUGACCUCAGGGGGUAGAGCACUGGAUGAGGGCGGGUCGCAAGAUACCGUCUUCAAUCAAACUCCGAAUACUUGAGGGUAGAGUCCGGGAGUCAGACUAUGGGCGCUAAGGUCCAUCAGUCAAAAGGGAAACAGCCCGGAUCACAAUCUAAGGUCCCUAAAUCAAGACUAAGUGUAAAAGGUGGUGUUGUGACUACGACAGUUAGGAGGUUGGCUUAGAAGCAGCCAUCCUUUAAAGAUAGCGUAAUAGCUCACUAAUCAAGUUGUUUCGCGCCGAAAAUUUAUCGGGGCUCAAGUCUUGUACCGAAGAUGUGAACUUUCUGGAUUUAUUCAGGGAGUGGUAGAGGAGCAUUCCCUUCAGCGUUGAAGUCGUGUUGUGAAGCACGGUGGAGCGGAGGGAAGGGAGAAUGUUGGCAUGAGUAGCAAAAAGGCGUGUUAAAACCACGCCCACCGCAAACCCAAGGUUUCCUGGGCAACGAAAAUCGACCCAGGGUUAGUCGAUCCUAAGGCGCAGCCUGUGUAGUGCAGGUGCUAGCCGAUGGAUGAGCUGGUUAAUAUUCCAGCACUACUGUUAUUUUCCGAUGGGGGGACGCGGUUCCAAGGUUCAAGCGUGCUAUGAUUUGUACGUCCAUUAUUUCAAGAAACGGCUUAGGUAAAUCCGGGCCACUAGUUUUAAGGGAUUGUGGGAAGGCGAAGUCGCAAGAUGGAGCCAAUUUGAGCGGAGGAGCCGACUAGAAAAACCUCUAGGGCUAAGGUAACAGUAAUCGUACCGCAAACCGACACAGGUGGGUGAGGCGAGAAGCCUCAGGUGUACGAGAGAAACUUCGUUAAGGAACUCGGCAAAACAGCGGCCGUAAUUUAGAGAUAAGGCCUGCCCCAGCAAUGGGGCCGCAGCUAAAGAGCGCAAGGGACUGUUUAUCAAAAACAUAGCUCUCUGCUAACUCGUAAGAGGAUGUAUAGAGGGUGAUGCCUGGCCAGUGUCCGAACGUUAAGAGGAGAGGUUAACCCUUCGGGGUGAAGCUUUGAAUCCAAGCGCGGAUGAACGCCGGCGAUAACUAUAAUCGUCCUAAGGUAGCGAAAUUCCUUGUCGGGUAAGUUCCGACCUGCACGAAUGGCUUAACCACUUGCGCACUGUCUCAACGAAGUACUCGGUGAAAUUGCAGGACGAGUAAAGAUGCUCGUUAACCAUAGUUGGACGAAAAGACCCCGUGAAGCUUUACUACAACUUGAUAUUGAAUUAGGGAUAUAUUUGUUCAGAAUAGGUGGGAGCCUUCGGGCACCAGUGAGAUACCACCCUUGUAUAUUUUUAAUUCUCACCCGUCAAUUGGCGGGGACAGUGUCUGGUGGGUAGUUUGUCUGGGGCGGAUGCCUCCCAAAAAGUAACGGAGGCGUUUACCAAGGUCGGCUAUCCCGGAAUGGAAACCCGGGAGAUAGUGUAAAGGCAUAAGCCGGCUUUACUGCGAGACCUACAAGUCAAGCAGUUGCGAAAGCAGAACUUAGUGAUCCGACCAUUCAAUAUAGGAUGGUGGAAGCUCAUCGGAUAAAAGCUACUCCGGGGAUAACAGGCUAGUCAGGUCCAAGAGUCCACAUCGACGACCUGGUUCGGCACCUCGAUGUCGGCUCGUCGCAUCCUGGGGGUGGAGAAGCUCCCAAGGGUUGGGCUGUUCGCCCAUUAAAGCGGCACGCGAGCUGGGUUCAGACCGUCGUAAGACAGGUCGGUCUCCUAUCCACUAUGGUCGUGGAAACUUGAGAGGGCCCUUCCUUAGUACGAGAGGACCGGGAAGGACGAAGCUCUAGUGUACCAGCUGUUCCAUCAGGGGCACUGCUGGGUAGCUACCUUCGGUUAAGAUAAGCGCUGAAAGCAUCUAAGCGCGAAGCUGUCCUCAAGAUUAGGUUUCAUAGACUGGUUAGAGAAUAUAACCUUGAUAGGCCGUACGUGUAAGUCCAGUAAUGGAUUGAGCGGAGCGGUACUAAUAUGUCAUUUGAUUUUCCCA
This 3006-nucleotide ribosomal RNA is filed under the name Candidatus Falkowiibacteriota bacterium. Its description in RNAcentral is "Candidatus Falkowbacteria bacterium 23S ribosomal RNA". It matches the Rfam family "Bacterial large subunit ribosomal RNA". Lineage: Bacteria; Candidatus Falkowiibacteriota. The record is from RNAcentral.